Molecule: ribosomal RNA, 300 nt
Filed under: uncultured Bhargavaea sp.
Lineage: Bacteria; Bacillati; Bacillota; Bacilli; Caryophanales; Caryophanaceae
Description: bacterial SSU rRNA
Rfam family: Bacterial small subunit ribosomal RNA (bases 52-300)
Source: RNAcentral
AGUAGGUGGGUGCUGGGGUUGGGGGGAAUAUGUAGGAUUCGAGCGGGAGUUGGGAUUACGUGGCGUGAAGCGUGUGCAGGCGGUUUUGUAAGAAAGAGGUGAAAGCGCCGGGCGCAAACUGGGAACUGCCUUUGGGACUGCAAUGCUGAAGUACGGCAGAGGGUGAUGGAAUUCCGCGUGUAGCAGUGAAAUGCGUAGAUAUGCGGAGGAACACCGAUGGCGAAGGCAAUCCCCUGGGCCUGUACUGACGCUCAUGCACGAAAGCGUGGGGAGCAAACAGGAUUAGAUACCCGUGUAGUC